UGAGGAAUUUUGCGCAAUGGGCGAAAGCCUGACGCAGCGACGCCGCGUGGACGAUGAAGGCCUUCGGGUUGUAAAGUCCUGUCAGGAGGGACGAAGUGGUUCAUCCCAUGACGGUACCUCCAGAGGAAGCCCCGGCUAACUACGUGCCAGCAGCCGCGGUAAGACGUAGGGGCCAACCGUUGUCCGGGGUUCCUGGGCGUAAAGAGCUGGUAGGCGGCUCUUUAAGUCGGGUGUGAAAGCCCUCGGCUCAACCGAGGAAUUGCAUUCGAUACUGAAGGGCUAGAGUCUGGUAGAGGAAAGCGGAAUUCCCGGUGUAGCGGUGAAAUGCGCAGAUAUCGGGAAGAACACCGGUGGCGAAGGCGGCUUUCUGGGCCAUGACUGACGCUGAGGAGCGAAAGCUAGGGUAGCAAACAG
This 414-nucleotide ribosomal RNA is filed under the name uncultured bacterium. RNAcentral describes it as "bacterial SSU rRNA". It matches the Rfam family "Bacterial small subunit ribosomal RNA", at positions 355 to 775 of the family's 1533-position model. The record is from RNAcentral.